RNAcentral lists this unclassified non-coding RNA (184 nucleotides) under rhizosphere metagenome. RNAcentral's name for it is "partial ribosomal RNA internal transcribed spacer region". The record is from RNAcentral.
GAAGAUAAUAGGGUUUGAGACUGCGUCCUUAACGGCGUGUGCUCGACUCUUACUCUUUUAUCCACACACACCUUUGUGCACCAUGGGACGAAAGUCCCCUUUUCACAUAAACACUAGUUAUAUGCAUGUCUUUAUACGCUCUACGGAGUAAUGUACAACUUUCAACAACGGAUCUCUUGGCUUU